Molecule: ribosomal RNA, 437 nt
Filed under: uncultured Polaromonas sp.
Lineage: Bacteria; Pseudomonadati; Pseudomonadota; Betaproteobacteria; Burkholderiales; Comamonadaceae
Description: bacterial SSU rRNA
Rfam family: Bacterial small subunit ribosomal RNA
Source: RNAcentral
GGUUUAAUUCGAAGCAACGCGAAGAACCUUACCAGGUCUUGACAUCCCGAUGCUAUUUCUAGAGAUAGAAAGUUACUUCGGUACAUCGGUGACAGGUGGUGCAUGGUUGUCGUCAGCUCGUGUCGUGAGAUGUUGGGUUAAGUCCCGCAACGAGCGCAACCCUUGUCAUUAGUUGCUACAUUCAGUUGGGCACUCUAAUGAGACUGCCGGUGACAAACCGGAGGAAGGUGGGGAUGACGUCAAGUCCUCAUGGCCCUUAUAGGUGGGGCUACACACGUCAUACAAUGGAUGGUACAAAGGGUCGCCAACCUGCGAGGGGGAGCCAAUCCCAUAAAGCCAUUCGUAGUCCGGAUCGCAGUCUGCAACUCGACUGCGUGAAGUCGGAAUCGCUAGUAAUCGUGGAUCAGAAUGUCACGGUGAAUACGUUCCCGGGUCUU